Long non-coding RNA from Zonotrichia albicollis (white-throated sparrow), 2867 nucleotides. RefSeq lists it as uncharacterized. NCBI's taxonomy places the organism in Eukaryota, Metazoa, Chordata, Aves, Passeriformes, Passerellidae. The record is from RefSeq and is a predicted model, not a curated record.
UGUAUUUUUGGAGGGAAGGGUGUGCUUGUCUUCAUGGGUUGUUUAAGAUGCAUUUUGGUGAGAAAGCAGACAUCAAGAUUUGAGUUCAUAUGGUCUUGCAGCGCCAUUUAUUCCCAGGGAUCACAGUAAGCCUACUGCCCUGCUCCUAAAGAAGCUGUUCCCUGGGAAUACAUCAGGGAACAAGGGUUUAUAUGUAUCCUAGGCUACAGCUGGUGAAUGCCAUGCCACUCACUGCAGGGCCAUGAAAACCUUGAUUGCAGUUUGGAUUGCUGUAAUUAGCACUUUGUAUUUGCACUAUGCAUUUUAAAUCAGGUGCACAUUAAUACAUCAGUUAUCAAGUAUGAGCAGCACAGAGCAUCACAAUUUUUAUAAAGACUUAUUCAAAGUAGAUGAUUUUUAAUGUGUGUGAUUAGUUGCAACCAAAAUUACAGUAAUAAAUAAAAUUAUAUACGAAACAGAAUAGGAGGCUUCUACAUAAGAAUGAGGCAAAUGGUAUAACAAAUGCCAAAUUGAUUUCUAAUGCUGGUUCAAAUAAAAUGUUUAGAGGAAUUGCUUAUGCUUGGAUGUCAGUACUGAAAAAUGUGAAGAUCUUGUUUAUUAAAAAUAUUUUAAAGCUAAUAAACUCUGUUAAUGUAGACCAUGCAAGUAUUUGUAAAUGCCUUAAAGAGGCACUAAACACUAAAAUUAGGAGUUGGUUUUAUGCAGCGUGGUGAUGUAAUUCACAGCAACAGAGGAAUCCCAAAUGCUAUGGAGAGUUUGUCUCAAAGUCCCCCUUUGCUCAAAAUUUUCAGCUUCCAAAUGGUGGCUCUGUUCUCUGAAAAUCAUUGUUUGAAUUGGGACUUCUACAGUGCCAGUUUUUGCAAAAGGAUUUUUGAAACUGUGGGGAAAUAUGCUUUGAGGCAGCUCACAAAUUGGGGUUAUUCUUAUGUAUCAAAAUUUAGGCAUUUGCAGGACUGCUCUUUUUGCUGAGACACCACAGAUCAACAGAUUGUAGACAUUAAGCACAAGAGGUAACUUGGACAAAAAAAUGCACUAGUUCCAUGCAGUUUUUGUAUUCUUGUGGAUAUUUUUUAAAGCAGAUACUUUUUUUCCCCCAAAAUAUUUGCUUUGAUUAAUUUGUAUUUCUCAUUCUUUAAAAAGCUGCUAAAACAUUCCCAAGCAGCUGGCUGAGGAGACUUUACACUAGAAAGAUACUGAAACACCAUUGAAUCCAAUCCUCAUGAGCACUGUACUUCUCUAGAGCAGUUUAUUCCCAAAGUCUUCUGUAGGGUUUGAUCAACUGUUUUCUGUUUUCCCUGGCUCUGCUCCACACCUUGCAGUAAUUGCUGUCACCAGCUCUCUCAGUGGCUUCACCCUGAAUAGAUUUUCUGCUCAGUUUCAGAUUUUUCCCAUGUGUCCCAUGGGUUUCCUAAUGGCACUAGUCUGUGCCCCCCAGCUGACAGGGAAAAGGCUUUCUGUUCUCUGUAUUUUGUAUUUUAUGUUUAUUCACCUGUUUCUCCGUUUGUUGCAUAUAUGUUUCAACACAUUUCACCACCUGCUUCCCUCUGGAGCACUGCCAGAUGCCACCUCACCUUUCCAGCCUGCAAAGGGAAGGAAAUGAGCUUCGGGGUGAAGGUGCUGUCCCAAAGGUCAGGGACUCUUUUUUCUUCCUGUAUUUCUUCUAGGCCGCUUUUGUUUUCAUUUUUAGGGAAGGCUAAACCCUUGAGAAGUUUACUCUCAGAUGUCACCUGCACAUUUCUCAUUAAUAAAAAUGAAUUUAUUCCUCUGCCCUGAGGUAACCAGUAACAAAUAUGAGGUAGUUCAUAACAAAUGCGUGUCUCAGAGCACGACUUGACUGCGUAAUUUCACUUGCGGCACUAGACUGGAUGUUAGUCUGUCACUAGAACCCUGCCAGAUUGCCACAGUGACGGUCUGACUGCUAAUUUUCUCUCCCAAUGGUGCAGCAGACAAGAACUCUCCUGAGCUGCAUCCCCACGUUCCUUGCCCUGCCCAAGGACCCAGAGGAGGUGCCUGCAGUGAGAGCAGAGCCCAGGCUCAGAGCAGGCACCGUUGGUGAGCCAGUGUGCAUGGAGGGAUAGCAGUGGGCUGUGCCACAGCCCAUGAGGAAGAUCCUGGAUCGUGUCCGAGUGGGCGCAGCCAUGUGUUGCUGUUUCCACAGAGAUUCCCGCUAUGGAAAGGAAAAAAGCGCUGGGCUUGGUUAAACAUCUGCAUUCUGACUUUUAUUAAAUGAGUUUAUCGCUCAUUUUACUCCUAUCUCUGCCCAUUUAAAAGUGCAAGGAGCCCCCGCUCUGCUGCUGACAUGAAUCAGGAGCACACACUUAAAUGCCAUGGAAUUAUGCUGGUGUAAAUCCAGCCUGAGCCUCCAAACAUGCCAGUAUCACACGUGGCUUCAUAUCUGGGGGGAAAUGGAUGCAAAAUGAAUGAGGUGGAACUGAAGAAUUGCCCCUGCAUAGUCCAUUUCCAGGCUUUUCAGUGGAGCUUAUCACUGUCCUGUCCAGCUCUUGGCUUAAUUUCUUCAUUUGUUAAAGAUAUCUAUUAAAUGGCAAUGGAAAUUCAGGCAGUAUACUUGCAUUAUCUAAUGCCUCUUCAGCGAUACUGCUUUGGCUAAUGUAACACUGUUUAUCCAAUAUUUUCUAAGAGUUGGAGACUAGAAUCUGAUCCGAAAAAUGUAACUCUUUAAUUACUUAAGAAAGCUCAGUGAAAUCAAUGGGUAAAACCACAGAAUUUGAUUAAGCAUUCUGUUAAUUUUUCAUUAUUUCUGUGCACUGUGUGUUGCUCAUUCAUGUUGCUAAUUACUCUUGCAUUUUCCCAAUUUACAUAGAAUAUAAUAUGAAAAAUAAAACCCCAGGCAUUUGUGGUCUGCCCAC